CAGAGUGACAGGUGGUGCAUGGUGUCGUCAGCUCGUGUCGUGAGAUGUUGGGUUAAGUCCCGCAACGAGCGCAACCCUUAAUUUAGUUGCCACAUUAAGUUGGGCACUCUAUAGGAGACUGCCGGGACAAACCGGAGGAAGGUGGGGAGACGUCAAAUCAUCAUGCCCCUUAUGACUGGGCUACACACGUGCUACAAUGGACGGUACAAAGGGUUAGCGAAGACCGCGAGGUGAAGCUAAUCUCAUAAAGCCAUUCUCAGUUCGGAUUGUCAGGCUGCAACUCGCCUGACAUGAAGCCGGGAAU
Molecule: ribosomal RNA, 304 nt
Filed under: uncultured Ornithinibacillus sp.
Lineage: Bacteria; Bacillati; Bacillota; Bacilli; Caryophanales; Bacillaceae
Description: bacterial SSU rRNA
Rfam family: Bacterial small subunit ribosomal RNA
Source: RNAcentral